Molecule: long non-coding RNA, 6143 nt
Organism: Gigantopelta aegis
Lineage: Eukaryota; Metazoa; Mollusca; Gastropoda; Neomphalida; Peltospiridae
Exons: 2
Source: RefSeq, a predicted model, not a curated record
CCCCCCCCCCCCCCCCCCCCCAGGAUUUUGAUCAGGGUACGGCCCUGAAUGUACAUCUAAAAGAUCCCUUGCUGCCAAUGGAAAAAUGUACAGGGGCAGAUCCGUGAUAUUUUGCAGGGGGAUCUACAUGCAACUAUUUAAAUGGAAAUUGUAAAUUAAUGCUGAAUGUACUUUAAAAUAUGUGAAAACUAAAUUUAAUCACGAGUGCUGGGGUUGGGGAUCUGUGGCUAAUAUAGCUGGUUUUCUCUGAACAAUGUGACAUAAUGUUUAACAUCCAUUAGCUGGCAAUUAAUUAAUUAAUGGUGUCAAACUUUAACGUGUGUGUGUGUGUGUGUGGUUUUUGUAAACAUUUUAAAGAGGCAUUUCCCAUUUUCAAUGAUUUAUUUGUGAUCAUGAGUGCAAUGUAAUAAUAAUUAUUAGUGUUGUGAUGUGAAUUGAUCACCUCUUCAGUAUUAUUGUAAAUUGGGGGUGCGGGUAUUUUUCUUUUCACAACUUCCCGUAACUACACCCAACAUGCUUUGCUUUCCAAACAUGGAGCAAAAUCCCAUGACAUUGUAUCACUUUUUCAGUUUACAAAUUACAUUUUUUAUUGUUUUUACUUAGAACUAGCUAUUUUCUUCAUGUUUUUGUACGACUUGUUUUUACUUAGAACUAGCCAUUUCCUUCAUGUUAUUGUACGACUUGUUUCUACUUAGAACUAGCCAUUUCCUUCAUGUUAUUGUACGACUUGUUUCUACUUAGAAGUAGCUAUUUCUUUCAUGGUAUUGUACGACUUGUUUUUACUUAGAACUAGCUAUUUUCUAUAUGUUAUUGUACGACUUGUUUUUACUUAGAACUAGCUAUUUCCUUCAUGUUAUUGUACGACUUGUUUUUACUUAGAACUAGCUAUUUUCUUCAUGUUGUGUUUUGUCUUGUUUCUACUUAGAAGUAGCUAUUUCUUUCAUGUUAUUGUACGACUUGUUUUUACUUAGAACUAGCUAUUUUCUAUAUGUUAUUGUACGACUUGUUUUUACUUAGAACUAGCUAUUUUCUUCAUGUUAUUGUACGACUUGUUUUUACUUAGACCUAGCUAUUUUCUUCAUGUUGUGUUUUGUCUUGUUUCUACUUAGAACUAGCUAUUUUCUUCAUGUUGUGUUUUGUCUUGUUUCUACUUAGAACUAGCUAUUUUCUUCAUGUUGUGUUAUGCUCAAUCCCCCCUUCAUAUAAUUUAACAUGUUUUACAAUUUACAUGUAAAAUAGAACAUAAAUAACACUUUAGCUUUAAUAAAUGUAUAACUGAAGACGGGUGUCUGCAGGAAUUUGUCUAUAAACGUCUAAUCCCGUCUAAAUGAGAUAAAUAUUAGGUCCGGUUUACACGGGUGUCUGCAGGAAUUCGUCUAUAAACGUCUAAUCCCGUCUAAAUGAGAUAAAUAUUAGGUCCGGUUUAGACGGGCGUCUGCAGGAAUUCGUCUAUAAACGUCUAAAUGAGAUAAAUAUUAGGUCCGGUUUAGACGGGCGUCUGCAGGAAUUUGUCUAUAAACGUCUAAUCCCGUCUAAAUGAGAUAAAUAUUAGGUCCGGUUUAGACGGGCGUCUGCAGGAAUUUGUCUAUAAACGUCUAAUCCCGUCUAAAUGAGAUAAAUAUUAGGUCCGGUUUAGACGGGUGUCUGCAGGAAUUUGUCUAUAAACGUCUAAUCCCGUCUAAAUGAGAUAAAUAUUAGGUCCGGUUUAGACGGGUGUCUGCAGGAAUUUGUCUAAACGCCUGAUCCCGUCUAAAUGAGAUAAAUAUUAGGUCCGGUUUAGACGGGUGUCUGCAGGAAUUUGUCUAAACGCCUGAUCCCGUCUAAAUGAGAUAAAUAUUAGGUCCGGUUUAGACGGGUGUCUGCAGGAAUUUGUCUAAACGCCUGAUCCCCUCUAAAUGAGAUAAAUAUUAGGUCCGGUUUAGACGGGUGUCUGCAGGAAUGUGUCUAAACGCCUGAUCCCCUCUAAAUGAGAUAAAUAUUAGGUCCGGUUUAGACGGGUGUCUGCAGGAAUGUGUCUAAACGCCUGAUCCCAUCUAAGUCGGAUAAAUAUUAGGUCCGGUUUAGACGGGUGUCUGCAGGAAUUUGUCUAAACGCCUGAUCCCGUCUAAAUGAGAUAAAUAUUAGGUCCGGUUUAGAUGGGUGUCUGCAGGAAUUUGUCUAAACGCCUGAUCCCGUCUAAAUGAGAUAAAUAUUAGGUCCGGUUUAGACGGGUGUCUGCAGGAAUGUGUCUAAACGCCUGAUCCCGUCUAAAUGAGAUAAAUAUUAGGUCAGGUUUAGACGGGUGUCUGCAGGAAUGUGUCUAAACGCCUGAUCCCGUCUAAGUCGGAUAAAUAUUAGGUCCGGUUUAGACGGGUGUCUACAGGAAUUUGUCUAAACGCCUGAUCCCAUCUAAAUGAGAUAAAUAUUAGGUCCGGUUUAGACGGGUGUCUGCAGGAAUGUGUCUAAACGCCUGAUCCCAUCUAAGUCGGAUAAAUAUUAGGUCCGGUUUAGAUGGGUGUCUGCAGGAAUUUGUCUAAACGCCUGAUCCCGUCUAAAUGAGAUAAAUAUUAGGUCCGGUUUAGAUGGGUGUCUGCAGGAAUUUGUCUAAACGCCUGAUCCCGUCUAAAUGAGAUAAAUAUUAGGUCCGGUUUAGACGGGUGUCUGCAGGAAUGUGUCUAAACGCCUGAUCCCGUCUAAAUGAGAUAAAUAUUAGGUCCGGUUUAGACGGGUGUCUGCAGGAAUGUGUCUAAACGCCUGAUCCCGUCUAAGUCGGAUAAAUAUUAGGUCCGGUUUACACGGGUUUCACUGUAGUAACUUACACAUGUACAUAACUAUUUUCCUAUUUAACUUACAUCAAUAUACAUACAUUUGUUAUUAUGUUAAAAAAAUUCAAGAAAUGAUGUAUUUAACAAUGCACUAGACCCAUUUUAUGUAUACGGUUAUACAGCAUUGGACACAUGGUUGAGCACUACACAAACAAUGAGAGAAGAAACCUGCUGCUGCCAUGCUAUGGGCUACUCUUUUCGAUUAGUAGCAAGGGAUCUUUUAUAUCCACCAUCUCACAGACAGGAUGGCACAUACCACAGCCUUUGUUACACAAGUUGUGGAGCACUGGCCGACACAAGAAAUUUUAGUGUUAAUGUUUACAGUUAUUUCUACACAAGUCAGCAGGAUUGACUCUGGGUCAGCAGAAAAGUUUGCCAAAUUAUCUACUAAACAUAAACAAAUUGCACAAAACCAAUAUCAAUCAUUUAAUGAAAUUAUUUCGCCAAAUGAAAAUAAAAUUUGCCAAUUAUUUUUGAAAUGCACAUAUGGCGAAUUUGGAGAUAGACCUGAUGGCUAUUGUAUACCAGUAAUUCAUGAUAUUCAGAGUUAUCAAAAUAUUGUCAGAACAUUGUAUUGGUUAUUGUCGAUCUAUUGGGCUAUUUCUCAUUCUAGUCCGUGCACCACAACUGAUAUAUCAAAGGCUGUGGUAUGUGUCAUCCUCUCUGUGGGAUGGUGCAUAUAAAAGAUCGCUUGCUACUAAUGAAAAAAAUGUAGCGGGUUUCCUCUCUCUGUCAGUAUAUUAUCAAAUGUUUGAUAAAUAAUAAAUCAAUGUGGUCUAGUCAUGUUAAACAAAAGCUAACAUAAUCAAUAAUUAUAUAUCUUUAAUUAUUAUAUACCUAACCAUUAAUUAUAUAGACCUACAGAUCGCAAGUCAUAUUUUCACAGUAAAAAUGUUAUUUACAUUGUAGAUUGAACAUGUUCAUGCUUCAGUUACCUCCCUUGUGAAUGGUUACGGUCUAAUUAUUGAAGUCAGUGUGACAUUAUCGUUUUAUAGUUCGAUGAUUACCAAAGCAUAUGAUCGUACUUGAAAACCGAAAUUGUAAUUUAAACAAUUGUACAUGUACUUACAUGUAUAUGUAGUGUAUUGACGAGGAAAGUAGUGUAUUGACGGGGAAACAUCUCAAAGUAAGAAUUAACGAUACAUGAUCAAAGUUGCAGUGUCGUAUUUUGCUGUUUUACAUGUGUUUGUAAUGAAUAACAACAAAUUAAUUGAUCGCACAUAUUAUCUGUGCAAUAUGAACUCAAGACUAGGGCCUCCAGGAGUCCAAAUAACAGUGUUGGUUUAAAGAGAAGUUUAAAGGGAGUCAAGAAUUUGUAACUAUUGUGACUUGUUAUUUAGUGUUCAUUUAAAGACAAGUUUAAAGGGAGUCGAGAAUUUGUAACUGUUGUGACUUGUUAUUUACAGUGUUCAUUUAAAGACAAGUUUAAAGGGAGUCGAGAAUUUGUAACUAUUGUGACUUGUUAUUUACAGUGUUCAUUUAAAGACAAGUUUAAAAGGAGUCCAGAAUUUGUAACUUGUUAUUUACAGUAUUGGUUUAAAGGGAGUCGAGAAUUUGUAACUAUUGUGACUUGUUAUUUACAGUAUUGGUUUAAAGGGGAGUUUAAAGGGAGUCGAGCAUUUGUAACUAUUGUGACUUGUUAUUUACAGUGUUGGUUUAAAGACAAGUUUAAAGGGAGUCGAGCAUUGUAACUAUUGUGACUUGUUACUUACAGAGUUGAUUUAAAGACAAGUUUAAAGGUAGUCGAGAAUUUGUAACUAUUAAUUGUGACUUGUUAUUUACAGUGUUGAUUUAAAGACAAGUUUAAAGGUAGUCGAGAAUUUGUAACUAUUGUGACUUGUUACUUACAGUAUUGAGUGACUUGUUAUUUACAGUUGAUUUAAAGACAAGUUUAAAGGUAGUCGAGAAUUUGUAACUAUUAAUUGUGACUUGUUAUUUACAGUGUUGAUUUAAAGACAAGUUUAAAGGUAGUCGAGAAUUUGUAACUAUUAAUUGUGACUUGUUAUUUACAGUGUUGAUUUAAAGACAAGUUUAAAGGGUGUCAAGAAUUUGUAACUAUUAAUUGUGACUUGUUAUUUACAGUGUUGAUUUAAAGACAAGUUUAAAGGUAGUCGAGAAUUUGUAACUAUUAAUUGUGACUUGUUAUUUACAGUGUUGAUUUAAAGACAAGUUUAAAGGGAGUCCAGAGUUUGUAACUAUUAAUUGUGACUUGUUAUUUACAGUGUUGAUUUAAAGACAAGUUUAAAGGUAGUCGAGAAUUUGUAACUAUUGUGACUUGUUUCUAACUAGGCUGGGACGUAACCUAGUGGUAAAGCACUCACUUGAUGUGCAGUCGGUUUGGGAUCAAUCCCUAUUGAUGUGCAUUGGGCUAUUUCUCAUUCUGACCAGUGCACUCUUAACUGGUAUCAUAUAUAUUAAAGGUUGUGGUAUGUGCUAUCCCGUCUGUAAGAUAGUGCAUACAAAAGAUCCUUUGUUACUAUUCAUUUAUUAAAAGAGCACGUUAUAGUAAUAUAUAGCAUUAGAAUAUGCAUGUACUUCACCACUAUCAUAUUCUAAGAAGUUGUACUUGUUACAAGGGGAUGUGGUACAUAUUUAAAAACAAAAGCUCAGUGAACCUUUACAAGCUGAAAACAUUAUACCAUAAAGUAAAGCAGGGAUCGAAAUACAGCCAUCCCGACCAGUUUUUGCUGGUCAUCUUCCACCACAGGCCAUGCAUGAGAUGUUUUUAAAAGUCUGCCAUCACGUCGGUCCGGUAAUUAGUUUUUAUUUAUAUUUAAUGAUCAUGUUUGGUUCGGCGGUAUUUUCAGUCAAUUUCAAUCCGUGCAGUAACGGUAAUCUUUCAACAAUUCACACUGAAGCAAGUUUCUUUGUGACAAACAUUUUAUGCAUAUCGAAUAGUUUUGUGAUAACUGUUUUAUGCAUAUCGAAAUUAAGUUUUCUUUGUGACCACCAUUUUAUGCAUAUCGAAUCAAAUUUUCUUUGUUAUAACUACUGUAUUUUAUGGAUAUCAAAAUAAAAAAGCUUAAAACAUACUAACAGCUGAAAUAUCAUGUCCCUGUAUUAAACAUGGUAAUUAAUAUAAUGUUUAAAAAAGACUGAUUAAACCAUAAGUUUGUUACAAUGGGUAAAAUUCUGAAAGUGUACUUUUUAAAAGAUGUUUUGAUUAUACUGGUAUAUCUAGUCUUUUUCUAGACUAUUUUUGUAGGUUUUAUUAGAGUUUAUAUUUACACGUUUAUUGAAAAUAGCAUCACUUAGUCUUGUUUAUUGCACUUUAUUUUAAUUUUGUAUGACAUGCAAAUUUUGUUAAUUUAAAAUGUAUAAUAAAACGGUCUUCAGUAA